GGCGAACGGGUGAGUAACACGUGAGCAACCUGCCCCUGACUUCGGGAUAACCGCGGGAAACCGUGGCUAAUACCGGAUAUGACGCGCUAUCGCAUGGUGGUGUGUGGAAAGAUUUAUCGGUUGGGGAUGGGCUCGCGGCCUAUCAGCUUGUUGGUGGGGUGAUGGCCUACCAAGGCGACGACGGGUAGCCGGCCUGAGAGGGUGACCGGCCACACUGGGACUGAGACACGGCCCAGACUCCUACGGGAGGCAGCAGUGGGGAAUAUUGCACAAUGGGCGCAAGCCUGAUGCAGCGACGCCGCGUGAGGGAUGACGGCCUUCGGGUUGUAAACCUCUUUCAGUAGGGAAGAAGGCCUUCGGGUUGACGGUACCUGCAGAAGAAGCGCCGGCUAACUACGUGCCAGCAGCCGCGGUAAUACGUAGGGCGCAAGCGUUGUCCGGAAUUAUUGGGCGUAAAGAGCUCGUAGGCGGUUUGUCGCGUCUGCUGUGAAAACGCGAGGCUUAACCUCGCGCCUGCAGUGGGUACGGGCAGACUAGAGUGCGGUAGGGGAGACUGGAAUUCCUGGUGUAGCGGUGGAAUGCGCAGAUAUCAGGAGGAACACCGGUGGCGAAGGCGGGUCUCUG
Molecule: ribosomal RNA, 624 nt
Filed under: Georgenia sp.
Lineage: Bacteria; Bacillati; Actinomycetota; Actinomycetes; Allobogoriellales; Allobogoriellaceae
Description: bacterial SSU rRNA
Rfam family: Bacterial small subunit ribosomal RNA
Source: RNAcentral